AAUUUACAACACAGUCCGCCAGACUAUUAUAAGUAAAAACUUAAAACUCAAAGGACUUGACGGUGUUCCACAUACAACCUAGAGGAGCCUGUCCUUUAAUCGACGACCCACGAAAAACCCGACCACCUUUUGCCAAACAACCUAUAUACCGCCGUCGCAAGCCCACCUCUUGAGAGGAAAAAAGUGGACGAAAUAGCCCACACAAAUACGUCAGGUCAAGGUGUAGUUUAUAGGGUGGGUAGAGAUGGGCUACAUUUCUUUUUAAAAGGAAAUACGAAAGAUAUAAUGAAAUACUCAUCAGAAGGAGGAUUUAGUAGUAAAACAAGAUAAGAGAGCUUGCUUGAACACACUGCCCUGGAACGCGUACACACCGCCCGUCACCCWCA
Molecule: ribosomal RNA, 386 nt
Filed under: Afrotyphlops punctatus
Lineage: Eukaryota; Metazoa; Chordata; Lepidosauria; Squamata; Typhlopidae
Description: partial 12S ribosomal RNA
Rfam family: Bacterial small subunit ribosomal RNA
Source: RNAcentral